AGUUUUCACGCUUCGUAGAUUUCUGUAACAUGUCUUCUGAAAGUUAUUUGCAUCAUGAAGAACCUGGCACACGCCUGCCACAGCCCUGCAAUUAGGAGCUUGAAGUUACAGAGUAAGGCAGCGGGCGGAGGAGGAGGAGGAGGAAGGGUCACGUCCACUCUCGACGUGGCUAAUUUAGCCAGAGGUCAGGCAAUAUCACGGCAGGAGGAGGUUAGUAGUGAAGGAGGGUGGUGUAUGGGUGGGCAUGAGACUGCCGCCUCAGCAGGGAUUAUCCUGCACCAGGAACAAGAGCAUUUUAAUGCAGGGAUAAGGAAAACAAUAAUGGGCAGGAAAGAGAAGAACCGUACUUGUAAAGGCAACCGGGCACAAGGUGGAGGAGCGUGACCUCUGAUUUGUUCUGGUCAAUAGUCUGUUAAAGCAAUCCAAUCCACGCAAUUUCCCCUCUACUCCAAGUGUAGCCCCUCUGUCAAGACAUGUUAGCUUCUUCUUUGCUGUGUCUGGAGCUAUGAAGCUAAUGUAACUAACAAGCGCACAGCUCACCAGUUAGCACUGUGCUCGCAUCAUUCCACAGAGAACCUGAAGCGUUAUAGCAUAGGGACGUUUUAUUUUUGAGGUAAAAGGGACACGGUGCAAUUUUUUUACUGGUAGCAGUGGUCAUCUCACACCUCGAUUCUCUAUUGCAAUGCCAUACUAACAGGACUCAAGGCCUGUGUUAUAAAACUACUUCCAAUGCAGCAACAUGCUUGGUCUUAAACCAGGCAAAACGGUCACAUGUCACCCCACUGCUCAUUGAGCUCCAUUGGCUACCAGUUGAUGUUGGUAUCAAAUUCAAAGCUCUUACAAUCGCCUACAAGGUGAUGACAGAACAGGCUCCUUCCUACCUGCACAAACAUUCACACAAAGCAAUCCAGACUGUUCUCAUACAGAGUUUCCCAAUGGUGGAACAAACUACCUUCCACUACCAGAUCAGGAGAAUCUCUCGCUAUCUUUAAGAAACUCCUGAAGACAGAGCUCUUCAAAGAGCACUUACUCUCCUCUUUCUGCUAACCUCAUUUCCUUCUUCCUCUCCUUUCCUUCUCUAUCCCACUAUUUCCCUUUAGCCUCCCUCAUGCCUUGUCUUAUUUUUAUUUUUUUUUAACCUUAAACUUCUAUGUCUUCUGUUACUCUAUGUACAUCCUUAUUGUCGGUCGCUUUGGACAAAAGUGUCUGCCAAAUGUAAUGUAAUAAGAUGACGUGGUAACCCCUAAUACUAUGUGGGGAGCUCCAGAUACUAGAUAGUGAGCACUAGACGCUAUGGAGUGAGCACCAGAUACUGUGCGGUAAGCACCAAAUACAAUUGGUGAGCACCAGACACUGUUUUGUGUUGGACCUUCUUUUGGCCUUU
RNAcentral lists this long non-coding RNA (1384 nucleotides) under Astyanax mexicanus (Mexican tetra). Its description in RNAcentral is "lncRNA (ENSAMXG00005016276.1)". The record is from RNAcentral. Lineage: Eukaryota; Metazoa; Chordata; Actinopteri; Characiformes; Acestrorhamphidae.